This 487-nucleotide ribosomal RNA is filed under the name Potamon ibericum. RNAcentral describes it as "partial large subunit ribosomal RNA". It matches the Rfam family "Archaeal large subunit ribosomal RNA", at positions 1999 to 2682 of the family's 2987-position model. Lineage: Eukaryota; Metazoa; Arthropoda; Malacostraca; Decapoda; Potamidae. The record is from RNAcentral.
AUUAAAGGGCCGCGGUAUUUUAACCGUGCAAAGGUAGCAUAAUCAUUAGGUUUUUAAUUGGAAUCUUGUAUGAAUGGUUCGACAAAAGAAGUACUGUCUUUAUAUUAAAUUUUGAAUUUAACUUUUAAGUGAAAAGGCUUAAAUAUAUUAAAGGGACGAUAAGACCCUAUAAAACUUUACAUUGUAAUUUUAUUUAAUUAAAUUUGUGAAAUAAAGAUUUAAUUUAAUUAUAUGUUAUGUUGGGGAGACAAAGGUAAAAUAAAUUUUAACUGCUUUAUGUUAAAACAUAUAUUUAUGGAUAUAUUAAAAGAUCCUUUAUAAAGAUUAAAAGAUUAAGUUACUUUAGGGAUAACAGCGUUAUUUUUUUUGAGAGUUCCUAUCGAAAAGAGAGUUUGCGACCUCGAUGUUGAAUUAAAAUAUCUUUAUAGUGCAGAAGCUAUAAAAGAAGGUCUGUUCGACCUUUAAAUUUUUACAUGAUUUGAGUUCA